This 141-nucleotide unclassified non-coding RNA is filed under the name uncultured fungus. RNAcentral describes it as "sequence contains ITS1, 5.8S rRNA gene". The record is from RNAcentral. Lineage: Eukaryota; Fungi.
CUGAAUGCGUGGCCUUCGGGCCCGUCUUCUUCACCCUGUGUCUACCUUCCAGGUGCCGCGGGGACGUCUCGGUUCGCCGAGGCGUCGUCCGGCGCCGCAAACUCUGGUGACGAUGCGUCGUAGACAAAUCUAAUCCUUAUA